Molecule: ribosomal RNA, 464 nt
Filed under: uncultured bacterium
Lineage: Bacteria
Description: partial 16S ribosomal RNA
Rfam family: Bacterial small subunit ribosomal RNA
Source: RNAcentral
CUACGGGAGGCUGCAGCGGGGAAUAUUGCACAAUGGGCGCAAGCCUGAUGCAGCCAUGCCGCGUGUAUGAAGAAGGCCUUCGGGUUGUAAAGUACUUUCAGCGGGGAGGAAGGGAGUAAAGUUAAUACCUUUGCUCAUUGACGUUACCCGCAGAAGAAGCACCGGCUAACUCCGUGCCAGCAGCCGCGGUAAUACGGAGGGUGCAAGCGUUAAUCGGAAUUACUGGGCGUAAAGCGCACGCAGGCGGUUUGUUAAGUCAGAUGUGAAAUCCCCGGGCUCAACCUGGGAACUGCAUCUGAUACUGGCAAGCUUGGGUCUCGUAGAGGGGGGUAGAAUUCCAGGUGUAGCGGUGAAAUGCGUAGAGAUCUGGAGGAAUACCGGUGGCGAAGGCGGCCCCCUGGACGAAGACUGACGCUCAGGUGCGAAAGCGUGGGGAGCAAACAGGAUUAGAUACCCCAGUAGUC